Molecule: ribosomal RNA, 466 nt
Filed under: uncultured bacterium
Lineage: Bacteria
Description: partial 16S ribosomal RNA
Rfam family: Bacterial small subunit ribosomal RNA
Source: RNAcentral
GACGAACGCUGGCGGCGCGCCUAACACAUGCAAGUCGAACGAGCGAGAGAGAGCUUGCUUUCUUGAGCGAGUGGCGAACGGGUGAGUAACGCGUGAGGAACCUGCCUCAAAGAGGGGGACAACAGUUGGAAACGACUGCUAAUACCGCAUAAGCCCACGGUGCCGCAUGGCACAGAGGGAAAAGGAGCAAUCCGCUUUGAGAUGGCCUCGCGUCCGAUUAGCUAGUUGGUGAGGUAACGGCCCACCAAGGCGACGAUCGGUAGCCGGACUGAGAGGUUGAACGGCCACAUUGGGACUGAGACACGGCCCAGACUCCUACGGGAGGCAGCAGUGGGGAAUAUUGCACAGUGGGGGAAACCCUGAUGCAGCGACGCCGCGUGGAGGAAGAAGGUCUUCGGAUUGUAAACUCCUGUUGUUGGGGAAGAUAAUGACGGUACCCAACAAGGAAGUGACGGCUAACUACGUG